This 496-nucleotide ribosomal RNA is filed under the name uncultured bacterium. RNAcentral's name for it is "partial 16S ribosomal RNA". It matches the Rfam family "Bacterial small subunit ribosomal RNA", at positions 28 to 507 of the family's 1533-position model. The record is from RNAcentral.
GAUGAACGCUGGCGGCGUGCCUAAUACAUGCAAGUCGAGCGAACAGACGAGGAGCUUGCUCCUCUGACGUUAGCGGCGGACGGGUGAGUAACACGUGGAUAACCUACCUAUAAGACUGGGAUAACUUCGGGAAACCGGAGCUAAUACCGGAUAAUAUAUUGAACCGCAUGGUUCAAUAGUGAAAGACGGUUUUGCUGUCACUUAUAGAUGGAUCCGCACCGCAUUAGCUAGUUGGUAAGGUAACGGCUUACCAAGGCAACGAUGCGUAGCCGACCUGAGAGGGUGAUCGGCCACACUGGAACUGAGACACGGUCCAGACUCCUACGGGAGGCAGCAGUAGGGAAUCUUCCGCAAUGGGCGAAAGCCUGACGGAGCAACGCCGCGUGAGUGAUGAAGGUCUUCGGAUCGUAAAACUCUGUUAUAGGGAAGAACAAAUGUGUAAGUAACUAUGCACGUCUUGACGGUACCUAAUCAGAAAGCCACGGCUAACUACGUG